AGGCCGUGAUGGGGACACUUGCGUAAUAGCUCUUGAACCUUUCCCAAGUUUCAUAUAAGGAUUCCCCGUCCUCUUGUGAAUAUGUAUAAAUUUCAGCCAUUAACUU
Molecule: non-coding RNA, 106 nt
Organism: Helianthus annuus (common sunflower)
Lineage: Eukaryota; Viridiplantae; Streptophyta; Magnoliopsida; Asterales; Asteraceae
Source: Rfam